UUUCCCUUCUGUUAACAAGCCAUUUUUCUGCAUCUCUUUACACCAGAUGCAUUUGAUAAUGCAUUUUAGUUUGACAUGUCGAUUAUUCAGCUCCAUCAAUGAUCCAAAUUAUAUCUUUCAUUCUAUAACAGAAUACAUUCAGAAGUGAUGAAACUUCAAGACAGGGAAGACUACAUUCACUGACUAAUGGUAAUCCUGGAGGCCUUCUGGCAUGAAAGUCACAUUCUCAGAAGAAGUCUAAAUGAGACUUAAGGAAACUAAUUAUAUGUGAAGAGGUUGCUUGUCAGUGCCCAACCAAAAGCCCAGCUGAGGUCUCAGACAACAAACAAUAUCAACAACCAGAUUUCUCACUUUAAUCCCAAAUAGCCAAAACAGGAAGACUGGAAUAAGCAGCACGGAGGUAUGAAAGGUGGUGGUAAGAGAUGGAAUGAAGAUAAGAAACAGACUUCUGCUUGAACCUGGAAAAGUAGAACCAUCAGUUUCUUUCAUGUUCUAAAUAAAUGAC
Molecule: long non-coding RNA, 505 nt
Organism: Manis pentadactyla (Chinese pangolin)
Lineage: Eukaryota; Metazoa; Chordata; Mammalia; Pholidota; Manidae
Exons: 3
Source: RefSeq, a predicted model, not a curated record